UAGUGUUUAUAAUAUAAAAAAAAUAAUAAAAAAUAAAAUCAAUUUUUAUUAAUAUAUAUACACACACAGAGACACAAAAAAUUAAAUAUAACAAUGAAUCGUUUUGUUGUAGUUUUUAUGGUUUCAAUGUUUAGUGUUGUUAUCAUUGCUUUUCUAUCAAGCACAGUUGAUGCUGAACCUAUACCUAAAGCUAAACCAUUUGAUUUUAAUGGUCCGGAUGUAUAAAUACUAACAACUAAUUAACAACUAUUAAAAAACAACAACAAAAACAAAACUAUUGUUUGUUUUUUUAGAUAACUUUUAUAUAAUAUAAUAAAAUGUUG
Molecule: long non-coding RNA, 323 nt
Organism: Oppia nitens
Lineage: Eukaryota; Metazoa; Arthropoda; Arachnida; Sarcoptiformes; Oppiidae
Exons: 3
Source: RefSeq, a predicted model, not a curated record